Molecule: ribosomal RNA, 232 nt
Filed under: uncultured bacterium
Lineage: Bacteria
Description: partial 16S ribosomal RNA
Rfam family: Bacterial small subunit ribosomal RNA
Source: RNAcentral
UGAGUAACCUGCCCUUAACUCUGGGAUAAGCCUGGGAAACUGGGUCUAAUACCGGAUAUGACUCCUCAUCGCAUGGUGGGGGGUGGAAAGCUUUUGUGGUUUUGGAUGGACUCGCGGCCUAUCAGCUUGUUGGUGAGGUAAUGGCUUACUAAGGCGACGACGGGUAGCCGGCCUGAGAGGGUGACCGGCCACACUGGGACUGAGACACGGCCCAGACUCCUACGUGAGGCAG